GAUGAACGCUGGCGGCGUGCCUAAUACAUGCAAGUCGAGCGAACAGACGAGGAGCUUGCUCCUCUGACGUUAGCGGCGGACGGGUGAGUAACACGUGGAUAACCUACCUAUAAGACUGGGAUAACUUCGGGAAACCGGAGCUAAUACCGGAUAAUAUAUUGAACCGCAUGGUUCAAUAGUGAAAGACGGUUUUGCUGUCACUUAUAGAUGGAUCCGCGCCGCAUUAGCUAGUUGGUAAGGUAACGGCUUACCAAGGCAACGAUGCGUAGCCGACCUGAGAGGGGAACCGCCACACCGGGACUUAGAAACGGGCCCAGACCCCAAGGGGAGGCAGAAGUAGGAAUCUUCCGCAAUGGGCGAAAGCCUGACGGAGCAACGCCGCGUGAGUGAUGAAGGUCUUCGGAUCGUAAAACUCUGUUAUUAGGGAAGAACAAAUGUGUAAGUAACUAUGCACGUCUUGACGGUACCUAAUCAGAAAGCCACGGCUAACUACGUG
Molecule: ribosomal RNA, 496 nt
Filed under: uncultured bacterium
Lineage: Bacteria
Description: partial 16S ribosomal RNA
Rfam family: Bacterial small subunit ribosomal RNA
Source: RNAcentral